RNAcentral lists this small nuclear RNA (105 nucleotides) under Cervus elaphus hippelaphus. The record is from RNAcentral. Lineage: Eukaryota; Metazoa; Chordata; Mammalia; Artiodactyla; Cervidae.
GUGCUUGCUUCAGCAGCACAUAUACUAAAAUUGGAAUGAUACAGAGAAGAUUAGCAUGGCCCCUGGGCAGGGAUGACAUGCAAAUUUGUGAAGCAUUCCAUAUUU